This 556-nucleotide ribosomal RNA is filed under the name uncultured bacterium. RNAcentral's name for it is "bacterial SSU rRNA". It matches the Rfam family "Bacterial small subunit ribosomal RNA", at positions 115 to 654 of the family's 1533-position model. The record is from RNAcentral.
CCGUAAGGCAACCUAACCCUUCGAGAUUGGGAUAACUACCGGAAACGGUAGCUAAUACCGGAUACGACUUUCCACAUAAGUGGAAUUGUUAAAAGGCGGAGUUUAUCUGCCGCUCAUGGAUGGGCCUGCGGUGCAUUAGCUAGUUGGUGAGAUAGUAGCUCACCAAGGCGACGAUGCAUAGCCGACCUGAGAGGGUGAUCGGCCACACUGGGACUGAGACACGGCCCAGACUCCUACGGGAGGCAGCAGUAGGGAAUCUUCCGCAAUGGACGAAAGUCUGACGGAGCAACGCCGCGUGAGUGAUGAAGGGUUUCGGCUCGUAAAACUCUGUUGUUAAGGAAGAAUACUUGAGGUAGUAACUGGCCUUGAGAUGACGGUACUUAACCAGAAAGCCACGGCUAACUACGUGCCAGCAGCCGCGGUAAUACGUAGGUGGCAAGCGUUAUCCGGAAUUAUUGGGCGUAAAGCGCGCGUAGGCGGUAAGAUAAGUCUGAUGUGAAAGCCCCCGGCUCAACCGGGGAGGGUCAUUGGAAACUGUUUUACUUGAGUACAGAAG